This 821-nucleotide long non-coding RNA is filed under the name Eucalyptus grandis. RNAcentral describes it as "long non-coding RNA (EGRA_LNC001143)". Lineage: Eukaryota; Viridiplantae; Streptophyta; Magnoliopsida; Myrtales; Myrtaceae. The record is from RNAcentral.
CUUCUUCUUCUUCUUCUUCUUCUUUUGUGGAUGAUUAGCUGGACAUGAAAAGCACAGGGAAUCGGUGAGAUCUCACUCGCAGAAUUGAUGAACAGAGAUGGAGAAUUUUAGGCAAAUCCAAGCAUGAAAUACCUGUCAGAGAUCUUCUGUUUAGUUCUACUUAUUUUGUCUAAUUUGUGUACUCUCACUUACCCGUUAUAGGUUCUUGUUCUUUCUUUAUCAGUAGGCAUAUCUAGAAAGGAAAACUCUAUACAUGGCAUAUCUAGAAAGGAAAACUCUAUACAUGGCAUAUCUAGAAAGGAAAACUCUAUACAAUAGCCGAAACUUGAAGGAAUUAAACAAGUAGCCAAGGCAAACUUCAGGUCAAUCAAACAUCAAGGUGAAUGAGCACGUGGCCUAGCAAAGUUAACGGCAACUGCUGAAGGAGUGUCUCGAACCUGUUUUUCGUGCAUUCUGCUCCAUGCAUACAUAGUAAACACAAGCACUCAACAUGCGCCUGAACUCCUUGUCGGAAGUUCGCCAACCCACCGAGAAUUUGAAGAAUGCCAUGUCAUGCUGCACGGAUGUCCCAAGGAACGUAGCAGGCAAAAGCAAGUCUCCGUACCUUAAUAGAGAACGAAACAUGGGAAGACAAGAUGACUUGGCGGCCGCGAUGACAUGAGCAUAGGCUGCGAUCGAUGAAUCGGCAAUACCUCGGUAAUAUGAGCGAUCACAAGUGGGAAGUAUCUCCAAAAUGACAAGCCACAAAAUGAAGGUAAGCCUCGGAAUUAUUCCCCUAAACCAAACCAACUUAGUCCAAACUACCCUUAGGUUAAGUAACA